AGAACAUUUAAGGCUUACAACACUGGGACUAGGAAGCGUCGAAGGAUAAACACUGACGAUGCUGAUGUCCGUUGGCACAAGACAGGCAAGACAAAGCCAGUACUAGUUGAUGGAAAACACCUUGGUUGUAAGAAAAUAAUGGUGCUUUAUAUAAGCCCGUUGAAGGGUGGAAAGGCUGAGAAGACCAAUUGGGUGAUCCACCAGUACCACCUAGGCACUGGAGAGGAUGAGAGAGAUGGUGAAUAUGUUGUCUCCAAACUAUUUUUUCAGCAACAGUUUAAACCUGGGGACAAGAAUGCUCAAGAGCUAACUACAUCCGAUGAUCUGGAAUCAAUGGCUGCUGAAUCAAAUCUCCCAGAUUUUACUACAUUGCCCACUGACAAACAUGUUGGUACAGUCCAAGAAGUUGUUCAUAAUCCUGAGCAUAAUCUUUACCAGGUAACUGAAUAUGUGGCCCACAUUUGUAGGUGAUAGGUAAGUUGAACCAGAAAAUAGAACAUAUACUGCUAACUUAUUUUUUGAUAAUUGAAAAUAGAAUUUAGAAAUACAUUUGUUUUUCCUAAUGUGCAGCUUAAUAGAAACUGUGAAAUAAGCAUUGAAGAGACUGUUGUCCUCCCACCCUCUGGAAAAACAACAAAGGACGGAUAUAAUCUCCAAUCACAAGAUUAGAAGUUGUGGGAAGGCGAUUCCCAGUUUGAAUUGUUAGACUCGCAGCAGCUGGCAGAAGGACUCGCUCUCUGUGACGAGUUCCUCCUGAGUCAGUCUCAGACCUCUUGUGGAGGUGGAGAUGAACCUAGAGAGACCAAACCCUGCCUGGCUGCUUAUGCCCAUCUGUCAGCAGAGGACUUCAAGAAGAGGUGGCGGGCAAAAACAGCAGCUGUGUCAGGUGGCGAAGACGAAGAAGAGGUGGCGGGCAGAAGCCGAAUGGUGUAGAGGGGGCCGGUGCUGUCACAUCGGAGGAGGGGGAGCCGAGUUGCCAAGUCCUUCACAGUAAGACCAGAAGAGUCAAACUCAACAGAACAAGAAUUAUCAGUAGUAAACCGACGAAUAGAAAGUAGAUUGUGGACCAAAGGAGUGACAAGAACAUCGGGCAUGCGAAAAAAGCCGGGAGGGCCGGCGGCACCCACAGAUGUGACAGGGAGACACGAGCCAUUCGCCACCAUGAUGGACGAAGGGAGAGAGGAAGGUGGAGGGCGCACAGAGGUGAGUAUACCAGGGUCCGGAGUGGUGUGGUAGGUAGCACCGGUGUCCGCGAUCCACUCGGGACCCAGCGGUGGAGUCAGAGUGGGAGUCUGGAAGGGGCAACCAGGGCGGUCGCGUCCCAACUAACCAGCCCAGACGGUGGAGUAGCCGGUGGUGGAGUAGCGGACGGCGUGGGCCACGAUGAAGCGGCAGGCGACAGAGUCCAGGGCGAUGGAGAGGCGGCGGCGAGGUGAACCCCGGUUGUGCACUAGCGAACAUGGCCACCGGGGGACGAGCCGCAGAAACAGGCCCCUGGAACGGCCACAUGGAGAUGCGCCCUGACCACGGGUGGUGAAAAGUGGGCCAAGGCGCACCCUGUUGGGGUCCCGGUGUCGGAGCGCUGCCACGGGCACCACCGCCGGGACCAGCACCACCACCACCACCACCACGGCGGCGACGACCACCACCACCUCCACCUCCGCCACCGCGACCCCCGCCGCCCAUGUUCGGCCCGGGGGAACGAUGGCCUGACGGAGUAGGAGGACGGGUCGGGGUGAGAGCCGCCAGAGCUGUCGAGGAGGACGAGGACCCCGGGCUGGAGAUCAAGGUAGCCUGAGCACCCAGAGUGAUCUCCUCCAGGGCGAGGUCGUCACGGACCUGGAGGAAGGUAGGGAAGGGGCGCUGGCGCAUGAUCAACGACCGGAGAUGGGUUUAGCGAUCACUGAGGCCGCGGAGGACGUUGAGGACUAGGUUGCGGUCCUCCACGGGGCAGCCCAGAUUGCCAAGUGAGUCCGCCAUGGUCUUCAUCGUGCGGCAGUACUCACUGACGAUGAGGUCCCCCUGGACGAAGGUGCGGAAGGCUGCGUCAAGACGGAGAGCCCGGGCCUCGGCGUUACCCAGAAACUGGCCCUCGAUGGCAAGCCAAACAGCCCGAGCGUGAGGAAUGUUCCGGAGGAGGCUGUGGAGGUCAACGGAGAUCGUCCCCACGAUCCAGGUAAGCACGAUGCUGUCGAGGCGCACCAACGCGGCGGUCGGCGCCACACUGGCGGGGUCGCAGAGAACGUGGUCAUCCAGAGCGUAACGACGAAGGGUGAGGAGUAAGUCCCGUCAGCGUGCGUAGGACGAAGACUCUGGCUCCAGGACGACAGGAACCAUGAGGCGAAUGUUCUGGACACUCCCAGCCUGAAGGUGGAGCUGAGCCACGAGCGGGUCAGCCGGGUCAUGCCACAACACCGUGGGGAUGGUGCGGGGUCCGGUGCCGACGGUUGGUGCGGGCGGGACGCCAUACACUCCGCCCACGGUGUCAGAGGAGGUGACCCCGCCGUCGUGGGUCGCAGGCGAGGCGAGGAGCUGUUCCGCCGCGGCAAUCUGAGCAGCGAUAGCAUCAGCGGCCUCGCGCUCGCGCUCCCACACGAGAGCGGCUUCCCGCAAACGGGCCUGUCGCGCCGCGUGCUCCGCACGGGAAGCAGUCAGGGCGGCGACAGUGGAUCCCUGGUGGGCGACCAGUGGAGGGGGAGGCGGCGGAUCAACGACAGACGACGAGGGGAUUGGCGGGGGAGGGUCCUCCGGACCGGCAACCCCCGCAGGAGGGGCAUCUGCCACAGCCGCAAGGACCGUUGCGGUGCCCGUCGCGGUGAGGGACCCUCCGGCGGCAAUGGGCCCUGCCCCCCACGGCGGCCUGAGCACAGCAGUAGCGGCAGGAGGGACGGCGGCGGGUCGACAAGGAGACGCGGCCCGUACUCAGGAAGAGAGGGGAGGGAACUCGGCAUCCAUGGGAGGAGGGAAGACCCGGGUGCGCUGGCGGCGCUCGGGGGCGUCUGGUCGGGUGGGACAGAGGCAGGGCUGGCGGGGGCGGGCACCUGGGCGCUCCUGGCGGGCGCGGCGCGGCUCCUGGCGGCGCUCGCCUGGGACAGAGGAAGGAAGGGCGGGGCCGGGCGGGCAGAGCGGCGCUCUGGCGGCGCUCCCCUGGGCGCGGCGAGGCAGAGGCAGGGCGGGGCGGGCAGAGCGGCGCGUCGGGGCGCUCCGGGCGGGCGUGGCCCCUGGCGGGCGUGGCACCUGGCGCUGGCGGCGCCCCUGGGCGCGACGGCGGCAGCAGGGAAGGGAGGUGGCGGCUGCACAGGGAAGGGAGGUGGAAACCCUAGCUCGAUACCAUGUCUCAGGUAACUGAUAGAUACAUGAGGCUAACCCUAAUGGGUAGCUAUAUAGUGAUGUACAUGAGCCACAUGGGCCUAGAUACAUGGCAUAUACUCUAACACCACUUUUCAUUAGAUAUGUCAUUUCCAUUUCUCUGUAAUUAAGCAUGGUUAGGAAUAAAUAAAAAAUAAUAUAUAGCAAUUGCCAAAGAUAAACAAUUUGCAUAUCUUAAGGAGUUCUUCAACUUGUUUAUAAAACUGGAAUAAAUGUCUAUGGUUAUAAACUUAUAAUUAUAUUUGUCACUUUAACUGCCUUACUUUUUAGCCAUCUCAUGGCCAACUUAUAAGUUAAUAGACCUAUUGUAUUUCUGAAAUGCUUUGACUUUUGCAGUUACAGUAUGGGGCUUUUGCUGUGAAUAUCCCUUUUAAAGGUUCUAUUAAAGUGUGGUCAGCUGCAAAGUCUGAAAGGUUCCGUUAAAGUGUGAUCAGCUCAUGACUGUUUUCUUGCUGUAGGUUGUUCACCAGUGGCCCGGUUUGCCUAAAGGUGUAAAAUUUGAUCCUUCUGACCAGGAAUUAAUCUGGCACUUAAUGGCAAAACAUGGAAAAUCUGGAAUAAAACCUCAUCCGUUCAUUGAUGAAUUCAUUCCAACAGUUGAGGAAGAUGAAGGCAUCUGUUACACUCAUCCACAGAAACUUCCAGGUACUUAUAUCUUCUUUCUGAAAGAUUAUGCGAUUUUCAGGAUUAAGGUUCUUAAGUAAAAGCUUUUAUUUCAGAUAAUAUCAAAUUUGAAAUUCUGCAGUUAGAGCUACUGUCAAGUGCUUAUCUUUGUUAGUAAUUUGUUGUCCCGUGGGACUCUUUUUUGUUGAUCACACCCUAUGACCUGCAUUUAGCCUAGGAAAACUUCAGGCAGGGCAAAUUACUUAUUUUACUUUUCAUUUAUGGCUAGUUUCAUUUCCCCCUCAAACCCCUCCAAUUCCGGAGGGUAUUUGAGUUUCCAAACUAGCCCUUAAUUUUUUCACCUCGUCGCUAUGCAACAAUUGACGACCUGUACAACUCUUGAAUUGUUACCGCCUUCUUUGAAACAGACAUUUCACAUUCUGGUUGGAACACUUUUGCUUUGAUACUCCACUUGUUUUUCAACACUCAGGAGUCUUCUCUGUCCAUUUUAGGUGUUAAACAAAAUGGAAGUGUAUCACAUUUCUUCCACAGAACAUUUAAGGCUUACAACACUGGGACUAGGAAGCGUCGAAGGAUAAACACUGACGAUGCUGAUGUCCGUUGGCACAAGACAGGCAAGACAAAGCCAGUACUAGUUGAUGGAAAACACCUUGGUUGUAAGAAAAUAAUGGUGCUUUAUAUAAGCCCGUUGAAGGGUGGAAAGGCUGAGAAGACCAAUUGGGUGAUCCACCAGUACCACCUAGGCGCUGGAGAGGAUGAGAGAGAUGGUGAAUAUGUUGUCUCCAAACUAUUUUUUCAGCAACAGUUUAAACCUGGGGACAAGAAUGCUCAAGAGCUAACUACAUCCGAUGAUCUGGAAUCAAUGGCUGCUGAAUCAAAUCUCCCAGAUUUUACUACAUUGCCCACUGACAAACAUGUUGGUACAGUCCAAGAAGUUGUUCAUAAUCCUGAGCAUAAUCUUU
This 4955-nucleotide long non-coding RNA is filed under the name Zea mays. RNAcentral describes it as "long non-coding RNA (ZMAY_LNC003931)". Lineage: Eukaryota; Viridiplantae; Streptophyta; Magnoliopsida; Poales; Poaceae. The record is from RNAcentral.